CAUGCAAGUCGAGGGGCAGCGGGAUUGAAGCUUGCUUCAAUUGCCGGCGACCGGCGCACGGGUGAGUAACGCGUAUCCAACCUUCCGUACACUCAGGGAUAGCCUUUCGAAAGAAAGAUUAAUACCUGAUGGUAUGAUGAGAUUGCAUGAUAGCAUCAUUAAAGAUUUAUCGGUGUACGAUGGGGAUGCGUUCCAUUAGGUAGUAGGCGGGGUAACGGCCCACCUAGCCAACGAUGGAUAGGGGUUCUGAGAGGAAGGUCCCCCACAUUGGAACUGAGACGCGGUCCAAACUCCUACGGGAGGCAGCGGUGAGGAAUAUUGGUCAAUGGACGAGAGUCUGAACCAGCCAAGUAGCGUGAAGGAUGAAGGUCUUACGGAUUGUAAACUUCUUUUAUAAGGGAAUAAAACCUCCCACGUGUGGGAGCUUGUAUGUACCUUAUGAAUAAGCAUCGGCUAACUCCGUGCCAGCAGCCGCGGUAAUACGGAGGAUGCGAGCGUUAUCCGGAUUUAUUGGGUUUAAAGGGAGCGCAGACGGGUCGUUAAGUCAGCUGUGAAAGUUUGGGGCUCAACCUUAAAAUUGCAGUUGAUACUGGCGUCCUUGAGUGCGGUUGAGGUGUGCGGAAUUCGUGGUGUAGCGGUGAAAUGCUUAGAUAUCACGAAGAACUCCGAUUGCGAAGGCAGCACACUAAGCCGUAACUGACGUUCAUGCUCGAAAGUGUGGGUAUCAAACAGGAUUAGAUACCCUGGUAGUCCACACGGUAAACGAUGGAUACUCGCUGUUGGCGAUAUACGGUCAGCGGCUUAGCGAAAGCGUUAAGUAUCCCACCUGGGGAGUACGCCGGCAACGGUGAAACUCAAAGGAAUUGACGGGGGCCCGCACAAGCGGAGGAACAUGUGGUUUAAUUCGAUGAUACGCGAGGAACCUUACCCGGGCUUAA
Molecule: ribosomal RNA, 938 nt
Filed under: uncultured bacterium
Lineage: Bacteria
Description: bacterial SSU rRNA
Rfam family: Bacterial small subunit ribosomal RNA
Source: RNAcentral